This 399-nucleotide transfer-messenger RNA is filed under the name Bacteroidales bacterium. It matches the Rfam family "transfer-messenger RNA". Rfam says of the family: Bacterial tmRNA, also known as 10Sa RNA or SsrA, is named for its dual tRNA and mRNA-like properties. Its role is to liberate the mRNA from a stalled ribosome. Lineage: Bacteria; Pseudomonadati; Bacteroidota; Bacteroidia; Bacteroidales. The record is from RNAcentral.
GGGGUUGACUGGUUUUGACAGCAUGUCGGAUGGGUAUGUAAGCAUGUCGAGCAUUGCAGAUAAGCUCGUAAAACUUAGCUGUAACAUUUUAAUUGGCGAAACUAGUUACGCUCUUGCCGCUUAAUCGAAGUUUAGUAGAUUUAGCAUAAUCCAGGCCCUAGGGGUCAGGACAAGACGUUCCGCAGAUGGAUCUGUCCGAUUCCUUUCUGACUAACGGGACGCACGCAAUUUCGGACUGGCCUGAGAGGCACUUCGACUCAAAGGCGAGAACACAGAAGAUAAGGGAUAAUUUGGGUGCUUGUUUCCGGGUUAUUCACGAAAAUCAAUAAUAAGCUACACAUGUAGAAAGCUUAUUUAUUCCAUGUUUGGACGCGGGUUCGAUUCCCGCCAGCUCCACCA